Molecule: non-coding RNA, 72 nt
Organism: Bos taurus (domestic cattle)
Lineage: Eukaryota; Metazoa; Chordata; Mammalia; Artiodactyla; Bovidae
Source: Rfam
UCCCUUGUAGCUCAGUUGGUAAAGAAUCUGCAUGCAAUGCAGGAGACCUGGGUUCGAUUCCUGGGUAGGGAA